GACGAACGCUGGCGGCGUGCUUAACACAUGCAAGUCGAACGCUGAAGCUUGGUGCUUGCACUGGGUGGAUGAGUGGCGAACGGGUGAGUAAUACGUGAGUAACCUGCCCUUGACUCUGGGAUAAGCCUGGGAAACUGGGUCUAAUACUGGAUAUGACAUGCCACUGCAUGGUGGUGUGUGGAAAGGGUUUUACUGGUUUUGGAUGGGCUCACGGCCUAUCAGCUUGUUGGUGGGGUAAUGGCCUACCAAGGCGACGACGGGUAGCCGGCCUGAGAGGGUGACCGGCCACACUGGGACUGAGACACGGCCCAGACUCCUACGGGAGGCAGCAGUGGGGAAUAUUGCACAAUGGGCGGAAGCCUGAUGCAGCGACGCCGCGUGAGGGAUGACGGCCUUCGGGUUGUAAACCUCUUUCAGCACGGAAGAAGCGAGAGUGACGGUACGUGCAGAAGAGGCGCCGGCUAACUACGUG
Molecule: ribosomal RNA, 472 nt
Filed under: uncultured bacterium
Lineage: Bacteria
Description: partial 16S ribosomal RNA
Rfam family: Bacterial small subunit ribosomal RNA
Source: RNAcentral